AGUGAACGCUGGCGGUAGGCCUAACACAUGCAAGUCGAACGGCAGCACAGUAAGAGCUUGCUCUUACGGGUGGCGAGUGGCGGACGGGUGAGGAAUACAUCGGAAUCUACUUUUUCGUGGGGGAUAACGUAGGGAAACUUACGCUAAUACCGCAUACGACCUACGGGUGAAAGCAGGGGAUCUUCGGACCUUGCGCGAUUGAAUGAGCCGAUGUCGGAUUAGCUAGUUGGCGGGGUAAAGGCCCACCAAGGCGACGAUCCGUAGCUGGUGUGAGAGGAUGAACCGCCACAGUGGAACGGAGACACGGCCCAGACUCCGGCGGGAGGAAGCAGAGGGGAAUAUUGGACAAAGGGGGAAAGCCUGAUCCAGCAAUCCCGGGUGGGUGAAGAAGGCCUUCGGGUUGUAAAGCCCUUUUGUGGGGAAAGAAAAGCAGCGCGUUAAUACCCCGCUGUUAUGACGGUACCAAAAGAAUAAGCACCGGCUAACUUCGUG
RNAcentral lists this ribosomal RNA (492 nucleotides) under uncultured bacterium. RNAcentral describes it as "partial 16S ribosomal RNA". It matches the Rfam family "Bacterial small subunit ribosomal RNA", at positions 29 to 507 of the family's 1533-position model. The record is from RNAcentral.